AGGGCGAACGCUGGCGGCGUGCUUAACACAUGCAAGUCGAACGGUGAAGGAGAGCUUGCUCUCUGGAUCAGUGGCGAACGGGUGAGUAACACGUGAGUAACCUGCCCUUGACUCUGGGAUAAGCACUGGAAACGGUGUCUAAUACCGGAUACGACCUACGAAGGCAUCUUCUGUAGGUGGAAAGAAUUUUGGUCAAGGAUGGACUCGCGGCCUAUCAGCUAGUUGGUGAGGUAAUGGCCCACCAAGGCGACGACGGGUAGCCGGCCUGAGAGGGUGACCGGCCACACUGGGACUGAGACACGGCCCAGACUCCUACGGGAGGCAGCAGUGGGGAAUAUUGCACAAUGGGCGCAAGCCUGAUGCAGCAACGCCGCGUGAGGGACGACGGCCUUCGGUUGUAAACCUCUUUUAGUAGGAAGAAGCGAAAGUGACGUACUGCAGAAAAGCACGCUAACUACGUGCCAGCAGCCGC
This 472-nucleotide ribosomal RNA is filed under the name uncultured soil bacterium. RNAcentral describes it as "bacterial SSU rRNA". It matches the Rfam family "Bacterial small subunit ribosomal RNA", at positions 26 to 518 of the family's 1533-position model. The record is from RNAcentral.